This 476-nucleotide ribosomal RNA is filed under the name uncultured bacterium. Its description in RNAcentral is "partial 16S ribosomal RNA". It matches the Rfam family "Bacterial small subunit ribosomal RNA", at positions 30 to 506 of the family's 1533-position model. The record is from RNAcentral.
AUUGAACGCUGGCGGCAUGCCUUACACAUGCGAGUCGAACGGUAACAGGUUAAGCUGACGAGUGGCGAACGGGUGAGUAAUGUAUCGGAACGUGCCCAGUCGUGGUGGAUAACUGCUCGAAAUAGCAGCUAAUACCGCAUACGACCUGAGGGUGAAAGCGGGGGAUCGCAAGACCUCGCGCGAUUGGAGCGGCCGAUAUCAGAUUAGGUAGUUGGUGAGGUAAAGGCUCACCAAGCCGACGAUCUGUAGCUGGUCUGAGAGGACGACCAGCCACACUGGGACUGAGAGACGGCCCAGACUCCUACGGGAGGCAGCAGUGGGGAAUUUUGGACAAUGGGCGAAAGCCUGAUCCAGCCAUGCCGCGUGCGGGAAGAAGGCCUUCGGGUUGUAAACCGCUUUUGUCAGGGAAGAAAAGGUUCUGGCUAAUACCUGGGACUCAUGACGGUACCUGAAGAAUAAGCACCGGCUAACUACGU